AUACGGAGGAUGCGAGCGUUAUCCGGAUUUAUUGGGUUUAAAGGGUGCGUAGGCGGACGAUUAAGUCAGCUGUGAAAUGCCCGCGCUUAACGCGGGAAGUGCAGUUGAUACUGGUUGUCUGGAGUGCCGUUGCCGUGGGGGGAAUGUGUAGUGUAGCGGUGAAAUGCAUAGAUAUUACACAGAACGCCGAUUGUGAAGACACCUCACGAAGCGGUAACUGACGCUGAGGCACGAAAGCGUGGGGAUCGAACAGGAUUAGAUACCCUGGUAGUCCGCACAGUAAACGAUGAAUACUUGUUUUCGGCGAUAUAAUGUCGGAGGCAAAGCGAAAGCGAUAAGUAUUCCACCUGGGGAGUACGCCGGCAACGGUGAAACUCAAAGGAAUUGACGGGG
RNAcentral lists this ribosomal RNA (393 nucleotides) under uncultured bacterium. RNAcentral describes it as "partial 16S ribosomal RNA". It matches the Rfam family "Bacterial small subunit ribosomal RNA", at positions 523 to 918 of the family's 1533-position model. The record is from RNAcentral.